CUUGGUCAUUUAGAGGAAGUAAAAGUCGUAACAAGGUCUCCGUUGGUGAACCAGCGGAGGGAUCAUUACAGAGUUAUCCAACUCCCAAACCCAUGUGAACAUAUCUCUUUGUUGCCUCGGCGCAAGCUACCCGGGACCUCGCGCCCCGGGCGGCCCGCCGGCGGACAAACCAAACUCUGUUAUCUUCGUUGAUUAUCUGAGUGUCUUAUUUAAUAAGUCAAAACUUUCAACAACGGAUCUCUUGGUUCUGGCAUCGAUGAAGAACGCAGCGAAAUGCGAUAAGUAAUGUGAAUUGCAGAAUUCAGUGAAUCAUCGAAUCUUUGAACGCACAUUGCGCCCAUUAGUAUUCUAGUGGGCAUGCCUGUUCGAGCGUCAUUUCAACCCCUAAGCACAGCUUAUUGUUGGGCGUCUACGUCUGUAGUGCCUCAAAGACAUUGGCGGAGCGGCAGCAGUCCUCUGAGCGUAGUAAUUCUUUAUCUCGCUUCUGUUAGGCGCUGCCCCCCCGGCCGUAAAACCCCCAAUUUUUUCUGGUUGACCUCGGAUCAGGUAGGAAUACCCGCUGAACUUAAGCAUAUCAAUAAGCGGAG
RNAcentral lists this ribosomal RNA (587 nucleotides) under uncultured fungus. Its description in RNAcentral is "eukaryotic LSU rRNA". The stretch from base 222 to 375 matches the Rfam family "5.8S ribosomal RNA". The record is from RNAcentral. Lineage: Eukaryota; Fungi.